GCCGGGUGCAGUAGCUCACACCUGUAAUCCCAGCACUUUGGGAGGCCGAAACAGGCGGAUCACGAGGUCAGGAGAUCGAGACCAUCCUGGCUAACACGGUGAAACCCCGUCUCUACUAAAAAAAAAUACAAAAAACUAGCCNNNNNNNNNNGCCCGGCUAGUUUUUUGUAUUUUUUUUUAGUAGAGACGGGGUUUCACCGUGUUAGCCAGGAUGGUCUCGAUCUCCUGACCUCGUGAUCCGCCUGUUUCGG
This 251-nucleotide signal recognition particle RNA is filed under the name Chlorocebus sabaeus (green monkey). RNAcentral describes it as "Metazoan signal recognition particle RNA". It matches the Rfam family "Metazoan signal recognition particle RNA". From Rfam's summary of the family: The signal recognition particle (SRP) is a universally conserved ribonucleoprotein. It is involved in the co-translational targeting of proteins to membranes. Lineage: Eukaryota; Metazoa; Chordata; Mammalia; Primates; Cercopithecidae. The record is from Rfam by way of RNAcentral.